RNAcentral lists this long non-coding RNA (393 nucleotides) under Cairina moschata (Muscovy duck). RNAcentral describes it as "domestica (muscovy Duck (domestic type)) lncRNA (ENSCMMG00000014235.1)". The record is from RNAcentral. Lineage: Eukaryota; Metazoa; Chordata; Aves; Anseriformes; Anatidae.
GGCUGCAUUGUCAUCUCUCUGGGACGGCUCCUAAUGGUCAAAAAGUUCUUCACUUAAGUUCAUGAUCAUCACAGGUCCGGUUACCAAAAGAGAUUCAUCUGUUUGAACCUUGAUAUGUGUGAGUCUACUCACUGGAAACAAGCAGCCGAUUUAAAAAGAUAUUGGAAGAACAGCUUGGACACAGAGAAAGGAAUGACCUGGAGUCUUAAAAAACAGACAAGCUUUUCAGUAGCUUGGCACUUGGAACAAGAAGCUAAAAGUCACAUAAGCACCCAGCCACGUGCGUGCCCUCAGCCAGCAGCCCACAAUGGGCAGCCUGUGCCACGUUCAGCGAGAGCUUCGCUGCCUCCCCUGGUCCUGGGACAACAGCCUGCAAAAGGGAAGUUACCUUAA